This 169-nucleotide ribosomal RNA is filed under the name Gibbonsia elegans (spotted kelpfish). RNAcentral's name for it is "partial small subunit ribosomal RNA". Lineage: Eukaryota; Metazoa; Chordata; Actinopteri; Blenniiformes; Clinidae. RNAcentral also lists the same sequence under 1 other name. The record is from RNAcentral.
CACCGCGGUUAUACGAGAGGCCCAAGUUGACCGACACUCGGCGUAAAGAGUGGUUAAAGAAUGAGUUUACUAAAGCCGAACGCCUUCUUAACUGUUAUACGUUCUCGAGGGUAAGAAGUCCCCCUACGAAAGUAGCUUUAAUAUUAUUGACCCCACGAAAGCUGUGGAA